CUGGCUCCAGACUUACUAUUGGAGAUGAGCUUCAGAGAGGAAUCCGGACACCUGGGCAUUAGUCUCCGCUGUCACCACGAGCUGUGUGACCUUGGACAAGUCACUUCAAGUCUCUGGAGUUGGUUUUCUUACUGGAGGCUACUUCUGUAUUCUCAAAGCCACCUAUGGCUUUGCAAUUUACUAGCUCUUUUUAGUUCCACUUAGCCUUUCCCGCGACACUCCACACCCGAGCGAGACCCGUCUUUUGUUCUGGGGGUGAAGGGGAGAAGGAGAGCUUCGCAAGGACCAGGCUGAGGAGGCCUUGGUACCAGCAGCUGUUCACUGGAGACUCGGGUCCCGGGAUGUCACCGGGCAACCCCACCGUGACCUUGUUCCCUCCCUGGCCCUUUUCUGGCCCGGCCUGAGUGAAGCGUCUGGGAGACGGUGGCGGGCACUGGGGCGGCGCAGAGCAGCGCCUGGAUAGCGGCCCGGACCUGGGGUGGCAGUCUGGCGGGGGUCCCUUUGGCACAGGCGUGCGCACAGCAACCUGCCUCUACCCGAGGCCACUCUGCCUCUGGAUUGGCCUGAGAGGACGCCACGGAUCACCCUUUCCCCCUCGGACACCGAUCGCGACACGCGCGCAGAGCCGCUACCUGCAGAUGGCCGUGCCCUGGACGGGUCUGGACUCGAGGUCGCCUCAUUCUAUAGUGUGGUAGAAGGGACGAUCAAUGCGGUAGACGAACAUGGGGCGAUGGAUCCUGUAUGUCUUCCUCUCUUCUCUUCAGCAUCACACUGUGCUCCACUGUCCCCAAGGACUGGUACCACUGGAUUCUCCUGUGCUCUCCUGACUCUGCCUUUACUGGAGCCAUUCCUCGGAAAAAUUCUGCACCAGAAGGACCACAGCUUAGAGAUAUUCUGUUACAGCAGCACAAAAUGGACUAAUACAACCUUAUGGUGGCAACUCCAUUAACAAACUCCCUUUCCUGCUCCUCCUGUUCCCCAGGCAGGCAAGGACCAUGUCUUCUUUUGCUUUAAACAGAAAGAAAAACAUUUUAUUCAAGGUAUGGUUAAUUUGCUUUUAAUGAUAAAGUAAUAUAUGUUUCUUGUCUUCCUGCAGAGAGAAUUUGGAAAGUACUGAAAUUACAAAGAAGCCCAAUUAUGUAUCAUCCCAUAAUUAUCCCACAUACACAGAUAAACAUAGAUAGUUGGUUUUCUGUUGUUUUAGUGCUUUUGUUUUUGUUUGUGGUGCUGGACUUUGAACCUGGGGUCUCGCACCUGCUAAGUAGGUGCCUUAUCACUAAACUACACCCUCAGUCCCAUUGAUGGUUUUUAAACGUGUUUCUCUGAAGAACACACACCAUCUAUAUACUAUAUCCAUACACACAUGAUCUGCUCUCUUCACUUCACAUGCCAGCAUGAGCAGACUCCAGUGAUGGGAAUGGGGACACCCAGAAAUCCAACUUUUGGAGAAGUUCUCUCCUCAUUUGAUGGUUCAACCUGGGAGUGACAUUACACCUGAGGGCACCUUGGUUUCAAAAAUCCAGUGCUUAUUUGGAGUGAGACUAAGGGCUAGGUCCCACUAGCAAAUGAAAAGUCUGAAUUAUAAAAUAAAAUGACGUCUUACCAGGGGUCA
This 1612-nucleotide long non-coding RNA is filed under the name Urocitellus parryii (Arctic ground squirrel). Its description in RNAcentral is "lncRNA (ENSUPAG00010007154.1)". Lineage: Eukaryota; Metazoa; Chordata; Mammalia; Rodentia; Sciuridae. The record is from RNAcentral.